UACGUAGGGACCGAGCGUUGUCCGGAAUCAUUGGGCGUAAAGAGCUCGUAGGCGGUUUGUCGCGUCUGCUGUGAAAACUGGAGGCUCAACCUCCAGCCUGCAGUGGGUACGGGCAGACUAGAGUGCGGUAGGGGAGAUUGGAAUUCCUGGGUGUAAGCGGUGGAAUGCGCAGAUAUCAGGAGGAACACCGAUGGCGAAGGCAGAUCUCUGGGCCGUAACUGACGCUGAGGAGCGAAAGCAUGGGGAGCGAACAGG
RNAcentral lists this ribosomal RNA (255 nucleotides) under uncultured bacterium. Its description in RNAcentral is "partial 16S ribosomal RNA". It matches the Rfam family "Bacterial small subunit ribosomal RNA", at positions 524 to 776 of the family's 1533-position model. The record is from RNAcentral.